CACGUAGGUGGCAUCGUAAGUCAAAGGUGAAAGCCCUCGGCUCAACCGAGGAAUUGCCUUUGAAACUGCUUUGCUUGAGUCCGGGAGGGGGGAGCGGAAUUCCCAGUGUAGCGGUGAAAUGCGUAGAUACUGGGAGGAACACCGGUGGCGAAGGCGGCUCCCUGGACCGGUACUGACACUGAGGUGCGAAAGCGUGGGUAGCAAACAGGAUUAGAUACCCUGGUAGUCC
RNAcentral lists this ribosomal RNA (229 nucleotides) under uncultured bacterium. RNAcentral's name for it is "partial 16S ribosomal RNA". It matches the Rfam family "Bacterial small subunit ribosomal RNA", at positions 568 to 796 of the family's 1533-position model. The record is from RNAcentral.